GACAGAGGGUGCAAACGUUGCUCGGAAUCAUUGGGCGUAAAGCGCACGUAGGCGGUUCGGUAAGUCGGAUGUGAAAGCCCUCGGCUCAACCCAGGAACUGCACUCGAAACUUCUUUUCUUGAGUGCCGGAGAGGAAAGCGGAAUUCCUGGUGUAGAGGUGAAAUUCGUAGAUAUCAGGAGGAACACCAGUGGCGAAGGCGGCUUUCUGGACGGUAACUGACGCUGAGACGCGAAAGCGUGGGGAGCAAACAGG
This 253-nucleotide ribosomal RNA is filed under the name uncultured bacterium. RNAcentral describes it as "partial 16S ribosomal RNA". It matches the Rfam family "Bacterial small subunit ribosomal RNA", at positions 524 to 776 of the family's 1533-position model. The record is from RNAcentral.